UUCAAAACUAAUCUGGAUCCUCCUCCACCUCAUUGUUUGUAUGUGCCCUUCUUGCUACUUAUUACCAAGGGCAGUGUUGUCCUUACACUUGGCUUUGGGGCACUGUCCUUGGGAUCAGGACGUGAUUUCUGUGGAGGAGUUCGAUUCCCUCCAGAGGCUGCUGCUUGCUUCGCUUACUUAGAUGAUUGCGUGGGGCUGCUCCCUUCUGCCUCCACCCUGAGCCCUCAUCUUGUAUCUGUGUGCACCUGAGUGAUCCUGUUCCCUCUGACCCCGUCAGCUUGAUGAGGAGCGUAGGUAAUGUGAGGGGCAUGUGACAGCCCUUUUGUCAAGAAGACUCACUUCCUGCCUCAAGUCUGAGCUGAAAGUGGACCACAGACUCAGGUAGUUGCAUAUGGACUCAACAUGUCACCGGAAGGAAAACACCAGCUGGUCUUACAGCUCUUGAACGGGCAGCUCACCCAGAGACACCACGCUGCAGGGCUUCUCUGCACCAACGUUCUUUCAGGGCCUGUGGAGAAAAUAUGGACGUUAGCAGUCAGAAAACAUGCUCGGGACACAGCAUUCGUGGCCGAGCUUCCCACAGCAGUGUGUAUGAACACCGCAGCUCCUCAUGGAACAAUUCUGUCCUCACCAAGCAACAUGAGACAACAAGGAAACACUUUCUGCCCCAGAAAUGUCCUUCCAUCACUUCCAGUUAAAAAUCACAUUUCUCCAAGAUUCUACCCACUCCCAUACACCUCAGCCUGGCUAAGGAAAUGAUUGGAAACUUAAAUCUGAGAGAAAAAGCUGACAUUUUACGAUAACGGGGAAAAGUUAUCCUCAAAUACUGCCUGUGGUAUUAAAAAUGGAAUUCAG
This 855-nucleotide long non-coding RNA is filed under the name Equus caballus (horse). RNAcentral describes it as "lncRNA (ENSECAG00000034443.3)". The record is from RNAcentral. Lineage: Eukaryota; Metazoa; Chordata; Mammalia; Perissodactyla; Equidae.